UACGUAGGGGGCUAGCGUUGUCCGGAUUUAUUGGGCGUAAAGAGCUCGUAGGCGGCUCAGUAAGUCGGGUGUGAAAUUUCAGGGCUCAACCCUGAAACGCCACCCGAUACUGCUGUGGCUAGAGUCCGGUAGGGGAGCGUGGAAUUCCUGGUGUAGCGGUGAAAUGCGCAGAUAUCAGGAGGAACACCAGCGGCGAAGGCGGCGCUCUGGGCCGGAACUGACGCUGAGGAGCGAAAGCAUGGGUAGCGAACAGG
RNAcentral lists this ribosomal RNA (254 nucleotides) under uncultured bacterium. RNAcentral's name for it is "partial 16S ribosomal RNA". It matches the Rfam family "Bacterial small subunit ribosomal RNA", at positions 524 to 776 of the family's 1533-position model. The record is from RNAcentral.